UACGGAGGGAGCUAGCGUUGUUCGGCAUUACUGGGCGUAAAGCGCACGUAGGCGGCUUUGUAAGUUAGAGGUGAAAGCCUGGAGCUCAACUCCAGAACUGCCUUUAAGACUGCAUCGCUUGAAUCCAGGAGAGGUGAGUGGAAUUCCGAGUGUAGAGGUGAAAUUCGUAGAUAUUCGGAAGAACACCAGUGGCGAAGGCGGCUCACUGGACUGGUAUUGACGCUGAGGUGCGAAAGCGUGGGGAGCAAACAGG
Molecule: ribosomal RNA, 253 nt
Filed under: uncultured bacterium
Lineage: Bacteria
Description: partial 16S ribosomal RNA
Rfam family: Bacterial small subunit ribosomal RNA
Source: RNAcentral